Molecule: ribosomal RNA, 468 nt
Filed under: uncultured bacterium
Lineage: Bacteria
Description: partial 16S ribosomal RNA
Rfam family: Bacterial small subunit ribosomal RNA
Source: RNAcentral
GACGAACGCUGGCGGCGUGCUUAACACAUGCAAGUCGAACGGAAAGGCCCUGCUUUUGUGGGGUGCUCGAGUGGCGAACGGGUGAGUAACACGUGAGUAACCUGCCCUUGACUUUGGGAUAACUUCAGGAAACUGGGGCUAAUACCGGAUAGGAGCUCCUGCUGCAUGGUGGGGGUUGGAAAGUUUCGGCGGUUGGGGAUGGACUCGCGGCUUAUCAGCUUGUUGGUGGGGUAGUGGCUUACCAAGGGUUUGACGGGUAGCCGGCCUGAGAGGGUGACCGGCCACAAGGGGACUGAGAGACGGCGCAGACUCCUACGGGAGGCAGCAGUGGGGAAUAUGGCACAAUGGGCGGAAGCGUGAUGCAGCAACGCCGCGUGCGGGAUGACGGCCUUCGGGUUGUAAACCGCUUUCGACUGUGACGAAGCGUGAGUGACGGUAAUGGGUAAAGAAGCACCGGCUAACUACGUG